CAUGGCCGUGUUAUGUCUCGAAUUUGGGGUGUGACAUUUUAUGGUAUCAGAGCUUAGGUUAUAAUCAUUGGGAAUUAUGAUAUAAAUGAUAUAAAUGAUUAGGAUAUGAAAGAAUAAUAUCAGAGCUUAGAUUUAAGAUCAUUGAGAUUAUAAAGUGAUAUCAAAACUUUAUGUAUGAUCAAUAGGAUGUGACCGAGUGGAGUAUAAUGGAUAAUAUCAG
Molecule: long non-coding RNA, 220 nt
Filed under: Elaeis guineensis (African oil palm)
Lineage: Eukaryota; Viridiplantae; Streptophyta; Magnoliopsida; Arecales; Arecaceae
Description: long non-coding RNA (EGUI_LNC077882)
Source: RNAcentral